AAACUGAGCAAUACCCAGAGAGGAUGGAAAUGGCGAAGUGGCCUAGCGCCUGACCGCUGCCGCGCAUGCUCCCUGACUUCACCAGGGUCACGCUGCAGCCCGCAGGAAGGAAAAUCCACUUCUCCGCAUUUUGGAGGUGACCUGAAAGCGGUUCAAAUACUCUGACUUCUCAGAAGAGGAGGGGACCGGGCGGUAACGAGGAGCCAAGGCGAGGCGACGGCUCGUAAAACCCGGAAAAGCUUUCCCGAUCCACUCUGCGGGCCUCCGAGCGCCUCCAGACAUGCGCAGUAGCCUCUCCCGCGGUGGCGGCAGUGCCUGCCGUGGCUGCUGAGUGUCCAGAGCCGGACGUUCCGGCCGCUGCGGGCCGGCGGCUGGAGAGCGCCCGCGUCAUGUCGGCCCAGGGGGACUGCGAGUUCUUGGUGCAGCGAGCCCGGGAGUUGGUGCCGCAGGACCUGUGGGCAGCCAAGGCGUGGCUGAUCACGGCCCGCAGCCUCUACCCCGCAGACUUUAACAUCCAGUAUGAGAUGUACACCAUCGAGCGGAAUGCAGAGCGGACCGCCACCGCCGGGAGGCUGCUGUACGACAUGUUUGUGAAUUUCCCAGACCAGCCGGUGGUGUGGAGAGAAAUCAGCAUUAUUACAUCAGCAUUAAGGAAUGAUUCACAGGACAAACAAACCCAAUUCUUAAGAAGUUUAUUUGAAACUCUGCCUGGUCGGGUCCAGUGUGAAAUGUUACUAAAGGUCACGGAACAAUGCUUCAACACUUUAGAACGAUCAGAAAUGUUGCUUCUACUUUUGAGGCGCUUCCCUGAAACGGUGGUGCAACAUGGGGUUGGCCUUGGGGAGGCACUGUUAGAGGCUGAAACUAUUGAAGAACAAGAAUCUCCUGUGAACUGCUUUAGAAAAUUAUUUGUUUGUGAUGUCCUUCCUCUAAUAAUUAACAACCAUGAUGUUCGACUGCCUGCCAAUUUAUUAUAUAAGUACUUGAACAAAGCAGCUGAAUUUUAUAUCAAUUAUGUCACUAGGACCACUCAAACAGAAAAUCAGCAUCAAGGUGCCCAGGAUACAUCUGAUUUAAUGUCACCUAGCAAACGUAGCUCUCAGAAGUAUGUAAUAGAAGGGCUGACCGAAAAAUCAUCCCAGAUCGUGGACCCUUGGGAGAGGUUGUUUAAGAUUUUAAAUGUUGUUGGAAUGAGAUGUGAAUGGCAGAUGGAUAAAGGAAGACGAAGCUAUGGAGAUAUUUUGCAUAGAAUGAAGGAUCUCUGCAGAUACAUGAACAACUUUGAUAGUGAAGCACAUGCGAAAUAUAAAAACCAAGUGGUGUAUUCCACCAUGCUGGUCUUCUUUAAGAAUGCGUUCCAGUAUGUCAACAGCAUACAGCCGUCUCUCUUCCAAGGUCCUAAUGCCCCGAGCCAAGUUCCACUGGUUCUUCUCGAAGAUGUAUCGAACGUGUAUGGUGAUGUAGAAAUUGAUCGUAAUAAACACAUCCAUAAAAAGAGGAAACUAGCUGAAGGAAGAGAAAAAACCAUGCAGAGUUCAGACGAUGAAGACUGUUCGGCGAAAGGAAGAAAUCGUCACAUUGUAGUCAAUAAAGCCGAACUUGCUAACUCCAUUGAAGUGUUAGAAAGCUUUAAACUGGCCAGGGAGAGCUGGGAGUUGCUCUAUUCCCUAGAAUUCCUUGACAAAGAAUUUACAAGGAUUUGCUUGGCCUGGAAGACGGAUACUUGGCUUUGGUUAAGAAUCUUCCUCACUGAUAUGAUCAUCUAUCAGGGUCAAUAUAAAAAGGCAAUAGCCAGCCUGCAUCACUUAGCAGCUCUCCAGGGAUCCAUUUCUCAGCCACAGAUCACAGGGCAGGGGACCCUGGAGCAUCAGAGGGCACUCAUCCAGCUGGCGACGUGCCACUUUGCGCUAGGGGAGUACAGAUUGACAUGUGAAAAAGUCCUUGAUCUGAUGUGCUACAUGGUACUACCCAUUCAAGAUGGAGGCAAAUCCCAGGAGGAACCCUCAAAAGUAAAGCCCAAAUUCAGAAAAGGUUCGGAUCUGAAGCUCCUGCCAUGUACCAGCAAAGCUAUCAUGCCAUACUGCCUGCAUUUAAUGUUAGCCUGUUUUAAGCUUAGAGCUUUCACAGACAACAGAGACGACAUGGCAUUGGGGCAUGUGAUUGUGUUGCUUCAGCAAGAGUGGCCACGGGGCGAGAAUCUGUUCCUGAAAGCUGUCAAUAAAAUUUGCCAACAAGGAAAUUUCCAAUAUGAGAAUUUUUUCAAUUACGUUACAAAUAUUGAUAUGCUGGAGGAAUUUGCCUACUUGAGAACCCAGGAAGGUGGGAAAAUUCAUCUGGAAUUACUACCCAAUCAAGGAAUGCUGAUCAAUGUUUGGGGAUAAAGAUUACCUUUGGAUACGGAAGCCCAGGUAACCCCUUUUGUAUUGUGAUUUGUUUUCUAGACUUUGAAACUGGAUGUACAAAUACAGCCUGAAUCAAGCUUUUUAGUUAAUUCCCAUCAGCAGUCACCAUACGAGUUAAUACAGAGACAGCCAGAGUGGAACUGAAGUCUGUGUACGUAGGAUUAAACCUACGGAUGAUUAUCACUUUACCUAGAUAAUGCGUAACUACUCGUGCAGGUGUGAGAGACGGAUUGUCAAAAAAUCAACAGUUGAACCUCAGACUUCAUUGUACUGAACCUUUCUUCUUUUACCAGUUUGUACUGAGCUGAAGAGUGACAGAAGUCCAGGUGGACAAACCCUAGGAUGAGGAAUGAGAGCAAGGGAGUGUUGGGUACCAGCUAGUGUCACAGGGAAGAGUGUUUGGAGCUGUUUGUGUAAAGGAUACCCAUCAUGCACUCUAACUAGUGAGGGAUAACUCCAGGCUCUGCCACCUUGAUCAAUAUGACCGUUAAUUUCUUCUAACUUUCUAUAGAAGACAAGCCUCUUAGGAAGGCUGCAGUUUCAUCAGUUUGGAAGCAGGAAUAGGGAUUAUUCCGUAGUGAUCUGACCAUUUAGGGCUUUGCCCAGUCUUCACUGUGUGAAUCUCAAGGUUAAUUACUGAUGCCUAAAUUAACAUGGUAGAAAGCACAUUGCUUAAGGCAGACAGCUCUUCCUAACUGAGGAAUGGUUGGACUCUUCAUUAAACAAUCUAAAUUCCUUUUCCCUUUGGGUUCCAAACAAGUUCUCUGAAGCCAUUACAGACCUUUUGGGUGGUCCCUCCAGAUGAGUGGCAGAGAUGUUGUGAGCAGUGUACACUUCUCCCCGGGGGUAAGGCUGUGAGUCUGCCCUAGCUGUGGCAUCUGGGAUGCAAGCAGGUACAGUACCAACACUGAAGGCACCCGGUGCUUCCCUCGAAGGAGGGAGAAGCUCUUAAUCUGUUAUACAGACCUUUUGCUCUUAAGUAUUUUAAAAUAGAGAAAUGUUUCUGUGCUGAUAAAUGCAGUAUCUUAGUUGUAUUAGAGUGCAUUAAAAUGGAAAACAAUGUCCUACUUAUACUCUGAAUAGGGUGGAUAAUAAUGUUCUAUGAGGUGAUCACCAGCUAAUAUACUAAAUCUUUGUUGUUACAGAAUUCUGCACAGCCAUGGGUCCCGGACUCUUAUUUUCCCCCAUCUGUUCUCGAUAUGUUUUUGAAAUUCAAACUCACCCUUUUUUUUUUUUUUUUUAAUCAAAAACAUUGCCAGACCAUUUAGUCCUCUUGGAAGGGCCUCUCCGGUGGGGCUUCAAUCCUGUUAAAGAUGGUUACCAGACAUCACCAGGUUGAAUGCUGGGACUGGUGUACCGUGAGAAGAGUGGAAAGUAAAGAGGCUGGCUUUGAAAAUGUGUCUUCUCAAAGGCUGCCCCUACUCCCUGUUGCCAUUCAGCUGCAUUCCAUCGUCCUCUUCCUCACUGGUCGCUUUUUAUACCACAUCCAAAGGGGGCUGAGCUCUGGGACCAGGAACUGAGACGCCUCUGGACAUGCACCAGCAGCAGCGGGUGCAGUGAGGGCUGGCUAGCUUCUUCCCAGUCUCCUUAAACACCCAGCCACGGCCAGGGGCUUGUUGAGGUUAACGAGUUUCUGUUUAGUCUGCUUCCAGUCUUGUGUAUUUUCUCUGGAGUGUUGUUUUUGCAGUGCAGGGUGAGUCGGUGUGGGUGUUUGAAUGCUGCUGUUUGCUGUUUUUUAAAGGCCUUCUAGCCCUCCCAUGGGGUUGCUGCAGCAGGAAUUCUUACCUGUGCUUCAGCCCAGCAUACAGACUGCUGACAGGCACCACACGGUAACGCGAGGCAUCACCAAAGGCGUGAAGGAGGACUUUCGCCUGGCCAUGGAGCG
This is an RNA transcript of Piliocolobus tephrosceles (Ugandan red Colobus), 4287 nucleotides long. It is a transcript of the gene named integrator complex subunit 10, with no coding region annotated. The transcript is spliced from 18 exons. Lineage: Eukaryota; Metazoa; Chordata; Mammalia; Primates; Cercopithecidae. The record is from RefSeq and is a predicted model, not a curated record.